ACGCACGACUAUCAGGUCAAGAUGCGCAACGUCUUCAAGUUUCUGGAAAACGGCGACAAGGUAAAGGUCACCCUGCGUUUUCGCGGUCGGGAAAUGGCGCACCAGAACCUGGGCCGCGAACUGCUGGAACGCGUUGCCGAAGACGUCAAGGAAAUCGGCCGGGUCGAGAACAUGCCCAAGAUGGAAGGCCGGCAGAUGAUCAUGAUGAUCGGCCCCCUGCCGCAAAAGUGAUCUGACACCGACCGGCUCUUGCCCGGCGAUAGCCCAUGCGCCCCUGAGUCGUCCGACUCAGG
Molecule: unclassified non-coding RNA, 293 nt
Filed under: Jhaorihella thermophila
Lineage: Bacteria; Pseudomonadati; Pseudomonadota; Alphaproteobacteria; Rhodobacterales; Paracoccaceae
Description: Long range pseudoknot
Source: RNAcentral